AACCUGGGCAUUAGCUGUCCACUGUGUUCUAAAACCCCCGACACACCAACCACACGGCUGACCCUCGGCAGAAAAGGCAGUUGGACUUAUCAGUCUCCCCAAGUUGGUCAAAAAAGUGACUCGGAACACACCAAAGCGACGAGACUUAAUACAUCUCCAUAACAGCAGGCGGCGCUAAUCUGUAUUGUCGGCCAAAAAUGAAAACCGGCAGCUGAUUGGAUGAGCGCGUAAUGUUGGUCUGAUUUCUCCGGAAAUUCAAAGCCAGACUGUCAUGGCGGCUUGUUCAGAAUAC
This is a long non-coding RNA of Sander lucioperca (pikeperch), 292 nucleotides long. RefSeq lists it as uncharacterized. The transcript has 3 exons. Lineage: Eukaryota; Metazoa; Chordata; Actinopteri; Perciformes; Percidae. The record is from RefSeq and is a predicted model, not a curated record.